RNA transcript from Tribolium castaneum (red flour beetle), 771 nucleotides. RefSeq lists it as uncharacterized. The record is from RefSeq and is a predicted model, not a curated record. Lineage: Eukaryota; Metazoa; Arthropoda; Insecta; Coleoptera; Tenebrionidae. The transcript is spliced from 4 exons.
UGUGCUGGCCUUUGAACAUGGUCAGAAAAGAGGCUCAAACAAAGCUUGAGCGAAGUUGUCGAAUCAUAAAUAUUUACAUAACUUGCUCGCUCCUGCUCAUUUUGAUUACGGUAGUGUUCAACAUGUUGUGUUUUAGUAGUCAGAGGGACUUCUUUAUUAAUAUCCAAAUUUUUGAGGAGUAUUUUGGCGAAUUGUCGCACGUUUUUAAUGGUUUAUAUUUCACUGGUUUCCCGUAUUUGUGCUACCACGGCGCAAGACUUUGUUAUGUUUUUGUUUACGCAAUACUACAAAUACAGUUGCAGUUCUCACUAAUUGAAGAAUAUUUGUUACAAGUGUAUGAGAUUGAUUGUCUGAAGAGUUGGAGGUAUUUACGGGACACUCGCUACCAGCAAGAAAUGGGAAAAUCGUUACGCCUUUGUAUCACACACCACAAUGCUUUAAAAAAGUUCGUUAAAAUGAUUAAUGAUAUGUCACUGAUAUGCAUGCCGUUCUGUUUAGUACUUGGCGUUUUAAUUCUUAUUAGCUGUUUAGCGUUCGUCAUAAACUUUGGGGACACUUUAACUAUCUUUGUCAAACUACGGAUACUCAUAUUUGUCGUUUCUUGUUUGUGCGUCUUGAGUGUGUUUUGCUGGAGUGGACAACAACUGACAGAUGUGAGCAGCUACAUUUUUUUGACUUUGGCCCGAGCUCCCUGGUAUUACUGGAGACUCGAAAACAUUAAAAUUCUUUUGACGUUUUCAACGAAUUGUACCAAAAAUGAUAGUAUUGUUU